Gymnopus androsaceus JB14 is the source of this 94-nucleotide non-coding RNA. Lineage: Eukaryota; Fungi; Basidiomycota; Agaricomycetes; Agaricales; Omphalotaceae. The record is from the annotation of a GenBank genome assembly.
UCCGAUAUGGUGUAGUGGCUAACAUUAUCGCCUCUCAUAUGUCAAGAAACACUGUACUGCGCGAUAGCCCGGGGUUCGAUUCCCCGUGUCGGAA